GAUGAACGCUGGCGGUGUGCCUAAUACAUGCAAGUCGAGCGAACAGACGAGGAGCUUACUCCUCUGACGUUAGCGGCGGACGGGUGAGUAACACGUGGAUAACCUACCUAUAAGACUGGGAUAACUUCGGGAAACCGGAGCUAAUACCGGAUAACAUGUUGAACCGCAUGGUUCAACAGUGAAAGACGGUCUUGCUGUCACUUAUAGAUGGAUCCGCGUCGCAUUAGCUAGUUGGUAAGGUAACGGCUUACCAAGGCAACGAUGCGUAGCCGACCUGAGAGGGUGAUCGGCCACACUGGAACUGAGACACGGUCCAGACUCCUACGGGAGGCAGCAGUAGGGAAUCUUCCGCAAUGGGCGAAAGCCUGACGGAGCAACGCCGCGUGAGUGAAGAAGGUCUUCGGAUCGUAAAACUCUGUUAUUAGGGAAGAACAAAUGUGUAAGUAACUGUGCACGUCCUGACGGUACCUAAUCAGAAAGCCACGGCUAACUACGUG
This 497-nucleotide ribosomal RNA is filed under the name uncultured bacterium. Its description in RNAcentral is "partial 16S ribosomal RNA". It matches the Rfam family "Bacterial small subunit ribosomal RNA", at positions 28 to 507 of the family's 1533-position model. The record is from RNAcentral.